GCUUUUUUAUAGUAGAUAUUUAUCAAUUGAUUUCAUAAGUGGAAUGUCCUGCCUGAAUUUUGAAUUGAGCAUGUUGUUUGCAAGCUUAGGAUUUUGAAUUCACCAACGUUGCUAAGGCCUUCUAUGAUAUUGAAAUGGUGAAACAAUACUACCGUCCCAACUAUUAGAAAGCUUUGAAAAAAAAACAUGUUCCAGAAUAAAAUUGAAGAGCAUAAAAAUAGUAAUACAAAGUUGCCAUCUGAAACUAAAUCUUGAAGGACAUAGCAAAAGUU
This 272-nucleotide unclassified non-coding RNA is filed under the name Hevea brasiliensis (rubber tree). The record is from RNAcentral. Lineage: Eukaryota; Viridiplantae; Streptophyta; Magnoliopsida; Malpighiales; Euphorbiaceae.